Molecule: ribosomal RNA, 388 nt
Filed under: uncultured bacterium
Lineage: Bacteria
Description: bacterial SSU rRNA
Rfam family: Bacterial small subunit ribosomal RNA
Source: RNAcentral
GACGAACGCUGGCGGCGUGCUUAACACAUGCAAGUCGAGCGGUAAGGCCCUUUCGGGGGUACACGAGCGGCGAACGGGUGAGUAACACGUGGGUGACCUGCCCUCAGCUCUGGGAUAAGCCUGGGAAACCGGGCCUAAUACUGGAUAUGACUCCAUGACGCAUGUUGUGGGGCGGAAAGCCUUGUGCGGCUGAGGAUGGGCCCGCGGCCUAUCAGCUUGUUGGUGGGGUGANGGCCUACCAAGGCGACGACGGGUAGCCGGCCUGAGAGGGCGACCGGCCACACUGGGACUGAGACACGGCCCAGACUCCUACGGGAGGCAGCAGUGGGGAAUCUUGCGCAAUGGGCGAAAGCCUGACGCAGCGACGCCGCGUGAGGGAUGACGGCCU